Long non-coding RNA from Brassica rapa (field mustard), 15564 nucleotides. RefSeq lists it as uncharacterized. NCBI's taxonomy places the organism in Eukaryota, Viridiplantae, Streptophyta, Magnoliopsida, Brassicales, Brassicaceae. The record is from RefSeq and is a predicted model, not a curated record.
AUGUAACUUAAGAUGUAAUAAACUAAUUAUUUAGAAAAUACUUAUUGAUGACUAUGGAAACAAAUAAAUCAUCAUCAUGUGCAAGACUAUCAACAUAUACUAUAAAUGUGAUGUUGACACGGUUUUUGAUGCUCGAUCCAAAAUGGUUACAAAAAGAUAGAUUAUGGAGAAAAAAUGGUGCAGCAAAAUAGUGGAGCUCUGAAAAUUUAGGAGAAUCAUCAUAUGUUUUAUAAGCAGAAGGAAAACUUCUUAUGAUGACAAUCAAUGAUACGAAAUUCAAAAGUUCCAAUAUAUUAUUUUUGAAGAGUGGGGGGGGGGAGGGGGGGGGGGGGGUAGUAUUGCCAAGUUUUAAUGAAAAAAAUAAAUAAAUUGUGAACACAUAGUCUAUCAAUGCAAACUCUUUGAAAAUAUUUUUUGAUACAUAUAUUUCUUAAGAAGUUCUAUAUGUGAGGUAGAACAAAUUGAUGUUUCAACAAAGUCGCUCAUUGUCUUGCAAAGAAGAGUCUUCCAAAUUCUUCAUUUUAUUCAGUUUGUUGUGAUCUUCUUAUUUUGUUAGUAAACUUGCAAGUUUUACUUAUAACAAUCUUUCAAUAAGCUAAACACACACAUUUACUUAUUUAUUUAGCAUCUUACAUUCAAAAGUCUAUAUGCAUAACUCAAAAACUUUCUAGUUAAACAUUUUUAUUCUAUAGUGUUUGACUUCCUUACAAGAAACUAAAAACCCCUUUAUUUCGAAAACUUUAUUUCUAUUGGGUUAAGCACAUACAAUGCUUCUCCAUACUUAUUUAUACUCAAUAGGUCGUGGCUGACCUUCUACAAACAUUAGGACGAGAAUACACUACAACCAUGUCAGUAAAUACAAGAAAAUGAUUGAUAAACCUCUUCAAUUGUCUUCUUCAUGUUCUUCUUUUGAUGACGCUCACACCUUUUUGCAUUAUGUUCCGUCUCAGCACACUUUGAGCAAAGCACUGUGCACCACGCCCUUCCAAGUUUUUUAACCCUCUUCUUUUUCUUCUUAGUUGAUUCAUGUUUGCCAUUGUUCCUCUACGAUGCUCCCUGUCGCUCUUCCCAAGACUCCGGUGACUCUUCCCUGGCUUUAGUUUCCUCCGCAGCUCAGCCGUCUCCGCACCGCGACUCUAUGCCGGGGGCCACCGCUUCAAACUUUCCGACCAUAAUUUUCUUCUGCUUUUGGAAUCCUGAUGUUGAGGGCUACUGAUUCACGAUGUCAGUGUUUGUGUGGGGUGUUUCAUCUGUGCUAGAUCUUGGAUCUAAAGUUCUUCACGGGAGACUUUUACUGAAAUUUUUCUGCGCUUCCUCGUCGCUGGGUUUAUACUGUCGAUUACAGUUCCUACCUCAUAUCUGAGGCUUAUGCUUGCUCUCUUAACCACGAGCCUCUCCUCCGCUGAUGCCGACGCCUCGCGUUCCUUCCCGAAGCUUUUCCCCUUCCCUGUCAAUGGAGUCUCCUGAAACUGUUUCAUCUGGUUUUCCUCCCCUGCCGACUGAGCCACCAGAUCCGGAUCUCGACGUGAUGCUUCCAGUGAAUCCUCCUGUCCCUCCAGUCCCUCCCGACCCUCCACCAGUUCUCCUAGAUUGUGCGUUUCUCCACCAUAUCUCGUCGUCCUUUACCACUCCUCACCAUCAGAGAUAUCAGGAAGCUCCGAUGCCAUGGUUUCUCUGUGCUUCUACCGGUUUCUCGCUCAAGCUUCUCUGCUCAGAUGCAUGUAUACUAUCUGUUCAGUCUUUGUGGAUGAAUCCUUUACUGGCUGAAGUCGCUCUUUCCAGCUCUCUCACCACUAGCCAGGUCUCCUCCUUCUUCCAACUAAUUCCGGUGUCAAAGCUGAGAAACUUGGUCGCUUGUGUGGAACAUGAUUCGUUAAAGUCACCCUUACGAGAUUUGCCUUAUUAUCAUCAAGUUGAGAUAUUAGUUGCAAGGUUUUUGGGGUUACUGACAACUGAUUGCAAGCUUACCUUCUUUCAUGGCUCAUCAUUUCAAGUCCUUGAGGACUGGACUUCGAAAGUUGAAAUAUUGGUGGGGGUGAGUAUUCUGUAUGCAGUUGUUAUUACCUCAGCGCAAUCUUUUGGAGUGCAGUUCUCUAUUGCUAUUUGCAGUUCUAAGUCAAUGCAUAUCCUUCAUUUGAAACUUUGGUUACAUGUUGUUGGACCCAUCUCCCCUUGCUUCCGGCUGUAGCAAGAGAUUAUGCUGCUUUUGAAUGGAUCUUUACCUCGUAGUGAGGAUGUUACAAACCCUUUGAGCUUCAGGUUUAAGCUCCCUUUCCCUCAGUAUGAGGAUGCUACUCUUUAUAGAACCAGGUUAUUACCUCAUUGUGAGGCUGUUAUCUGGACUUCUGUCUUUGUGGCUAUGGAUUUUGUUGGAUCAGGCUUGUCUAUUUGGCGAUGGUGUUUCACCUCACAACAACCAAUCUUUUGGAAGAGGAGUUUGGUAGCCUCUGAGUUGGUUGGGAACUUCUCGCAUUGUUCGGCUAAUGGAACGUGGAUUGUGAGUUCUGCAUUACAAGCCAAUGAUGGAAUGCUUCAGGAAGCUCCUCACUCAACAUUAUCAUUUGGACCUUCAAGCCUUCAGAUUCUUUCGGACUUUAUCGUCCCCUUCUCUGCCCUGCGCACAGGGUUGGAUUUGAUUGAGAUUACAGGUUACUUUGUCAGGAACCUUGUCCCUCUCGACAUUCCGCUAUCAUGCUCUUUUAAUCUUUGCAAUAUCUUCGUUUUAGUUGUUGUUGUUUAUGCUAUGGGUGCUGUCCCCAAACUUUGAGAACACUGUUUUGAGUUUAUGAAAUGAAACCGUUGACAAAAAAAAAGUUGAUUCAUGUUUGCCUUACAUUUUAGGGAACUUCUUUAGAUUUUUCUUUUUCUUUCUCCCAGAUAAUUCAGGUUAUGGAGGAGCAGCUAUCAGUGGUAAACUUGAAUGCAUACCGAGACACUCCUGGUCCUCUAACUAGCUCAAUGUUUGUGUUGUAAAUUUACCUGCUAUAUAAGUGUUCUUAAGAAUCUCGAGACAUAAUGAUCAACAUUCAAACCAUCAUUGAUCAUUGCUCCAUAGGCAUUUUCACAAAGACCUCCACUGAUACGCAAUUUUCCACAUGAACAUGUAUGCCUUAUAAUGUUGACACUAUAUGAAUUUCUAUCAUAGCUUACUUCAAAACUAGAGAAAUUCUACAAUCAUCAGUGAUCUUCAUCUCCUCUGCAAGUAAUUUUACUACAUACUUCAUACACAAUCCUUCAUGCUUAUUUGAUGUUAUGUGUCUUUUUGCUAUGUCAUAUCACUUGAAAUACCCUAAGGAGUGACUUUACUCUCUCAAAUAAGAAGUUCAGUUGUAGUACUUAAGGAUCGAAUCCACAUGGAGCAUGGGCACACAAUAAACUCAAUACAGUCGCGAUUAAGCUAGGUAAACAAGUAUGAAAGCAGUAAAUAAAGUAAACAUGAUGAACAAGGUAAUUGUUUAGUUGAUUAAUGAGUUCUUUGAUGGAAUGAGGGUUGCUAGACUUAAGGUUUCAGGUAUCAUGAUUAUAAUGAUAUAGAUGCUAAUGUUAUCAAUCCUAGAACUCAAAUUCUAAUGAGAAAGUAUUCAGCUUCCGCGUGCGAAUAAAUCCUAUUGACUAAGUCCAAUAUCUCAGCUGUCACUUGUUGAUAUGGUUCGAGUGUCAAUCAAUGCUAUGAGAUUAGCGUCGAUCGAUAUUUAACUAGACAAGUUUUAUCAAGCCGUUCAAUAGGUUCACUAGUAUUAACUAAAUUAGUUGUCAUUUAUUUCUAGCAAUCCUAGCUCAAGAGAAUUAAUUUAGGUAAAAGACCAUGUCGUCGCGUACGUCUAAUUAUCCUAAUUUCAGUGUUCUAGUUAGCUACUCUAGAACACAAGCGUUACAAACAAUUAUUUGAAGGAAAUCUUAUCACCUUAGCGUAUCUAUAGUUUGGGCUAAUCCCUCAUAAUCUUACUUUAAACCCUAAAUCUAAUAGAGAUCUAUUUAAACAUGAUAGUUGUCACAAAAAACCAUUGAUGAAUAUAUAUAAAAUAGAAAGCAAUAUGAAAACCAAAGGAGUUAGUUCCAAGAGGACUCUGAAGGAGUUCCUCUCUUUUCUCUUACAUAAAAGUAAGAACAAAGAAUAGAAUAAAGCGUAGCCGUCAAUAAUGGCAUAAAAAACACUUAAAUAGGAUUUUAGAUCGUCCAGACGCAUUCUGGUAAUUUGCGAUAACUUCUGGGCUUAAAUCGAUCAUGAAAUAGGCCCAACCCGUCUUCUGGGGUUACCGUCGAUUGACACCAAGUGUCUGUUGUCGAUCGACAUUUCUUCAUCUCCUCGACAACUUUCUCCGGCGAGGCAGACAUACCACUCUUCAGUAAAUCAGGCAUAACAUCUGCUGUAGGAUGUUGAUUGACCUUAAACCGGUGGCAUUGGAAAGCUAACUCAAAGCUCUAUUGUUUGUAAAAAGAUGAGCCCAAUCUCACUGUGGAAAUAUCUCCAUCCAUAGCUAAAUAUCUGACGCGUCUGUGUAGUUCUGCACUUCAAAAGGCUCCAAAAUCACCAAAGUUCUCUAAAACUUACUUAAACCUGAAAACACUCUAAAACAUACUCUAAACAUAAUUAAUAGACCUUAAAAACACAUAUACCAUGGUCUAAAAGUGGUAAAAUCCAUGGUAUAUCAAUUCCCCCAGACUUAUCCUUUUGCUUGUCAUCAAGCAAAACACAGAGUAGUCUUAUAAAAGAGGUUUGAAAGCAACAGAGACUCACACUAUGAAAAGAAACAUUUUCAUAUGAAAAAAGUAAAUUCUUUAAGUUUCAAUAUCAUUUCUAAUACACCACAAGGUUUAUCUUUAUCAUCCAGACUCAUCUAUACUUUUGUUCUACGUCAUCAACUUCACAAUUUUCCACGGGUACCUAGAGAAAUUCUACAAUCAUCAGGGAUCUGCUUCUUCACUACAAAUAUUUUUACUACAUACUUCAUACACAAUCCUUCAUGUCUAUUUGAUGUUAUGUGUCUUUCUGCUAUGCGAUCCAUUGCAUGUCUUCUUAUCAUCUCCAACAUUUUCACUGUUGCCUUGGCUCUUGCUUCCGUGAUAGUGAAGUUAAAGGACUAUGUUGCAUUGCUGUCAACAUUUCACAGCAGCCUCCAAUUCUAUAAAAUGGUCGAGAACAAGUAUGCGGCUUCUGUUUCAUGACAUCAUUGUACCAAGCCAAGUUGUAUGCCUUCAACUUAGCUAGGUUGUAGAUCUAUCUAUGUGCAGCUCCUAACAAUGUCCCAAAUCAUCUGUUUUAGUAAAAUAUUCUUGGCAUGAAUCUUCUUCAAGUUUUCAUGAUGUGUUUAACACACUUUCUAUGCUCAGCAUUCAGUAACUCUGCCUCCACAGCAGUUUAAGUCCCUUAGAUAUCCGAAAGCAAAACAAACCAUUGCCAUCUAGAAUAACUAAACCUCUCUUGAUUUGUUGGAUGAACCAUAUCUAAUUAUCUGUAGUCUCAGAUUGCACCACUACCCAAGCAAUAGGAUAAAUCUGAUUGUUUGCUUCAUGCCCAAUUUCAGUUAGAAACACCCCUUUUACAACAACUUUCAAGAAGGUACCAUCAACUCUAGUGAUUGGUCUAUACCCUCUCCAUGUGUCUGAAAUAAUCCCAAAGCAUGCUCAAAUUAACCUAAAGAAACUCUCUCAAAUAAGAGCGUCAUCAUAGUACAUAAGCGCAUGUAAGAAUAUGAAAUUCAAGCUAUGUCAAUUAUCCUGUAAUUUCGUAUAAUUGUGUUCGUAGUUGCCAUGUUUAAUACCUGCAAAAUCAUUGUAUUUGGAGAUGUAGAUGAGUUACCUAGAAGAAUGGUCCCUUCUCGACAUAGAUCAUUCAAAUUCUUUGUAAGGAGCAACUGAAGCCUUGAAAGCCAGCACGCUUCGUUUUCCAAUUAUUGGGAAAGCUGUGGUGAGUGUUUGCUUUGACUUACUUUGUAUCAUUAGAGUCCGUUUUCAGAAUGUUUUUAUUAUGAUUUUUGUGUUGUUAGGUUGAUAUAUCAAGCAUAUUGUUAGUUAAGCUGUUGAUGUCGUGCACGGUCUGGCGUCUUCCAUAUUCUCGCUGAUAACAAAGGUAAAUUUCGAUUUUAUGAAGCUUAUCCUCUUAUCGUUUCUCUGUAGCCGCAACAUACUCUCCAUGUGUACAUACUGCAGUGGAGUUGGUUUUCAUGAGAGUUCAGAGAUGCAAACAAUUAUCAUAAUAAUUAUUAUUAGAUAUAAAGUGGAAACUACGUGUUAGUCAUUCUUAUAUGCAUAUGUCCAGAAGCUGAAGGCUGAAUUGUUUCAAGCAUUAGUUACUGGCUGUUACUCUGGUGUUUUGUGGACCUUAUCUAAAUGCAUGUUUUUUUUAAUUGUUUGUUGUCAUUGGUAACUAGAUGAAAUUAUAAUUAAUUCAGUAAUGACAGAAAUAAUGAAUAUCAGUCUUGCUCAAACAAUGUCAAGGACUCUUAUCAAUACUAGCAGCUAUGCAGGUUAAAGAUUGAUCUCUCUUCUCUCGGUUUUUUUUUCCCUUAUACAUUUUUCUUCUUGAUCAAGUUUUUAUAAGUAAAUCAAAGCCUCUUUAUAGGUUAAAAACUAUAGCAUGAAGACGCACAUAAAACAACUAAGCUGGAAACUGACUUCACAACUGUAGAAACUGAUGGGUUUUCCAUGACUUUUGAUUUCCUAAGCUUUGUUUCAAGUUAUUGAAUUUCAAUAAUUAAUACCCGUUAGCACAAGUACCUGGUUUUUUUUUGUGCACACACAAGUAGCCGGCAUAGCUUAGUUUUUAAAAGCUUAACAUAGGAGCCUCAUCAGAUAUACCUUAUUAAAUAUUAUAACUACUAGAAUGUAACGAACAUGUGUAUAUUCUAAAAUAACAGCCUCACAAAUCUGGUAUUAAACAGCAUAUCUCUGCAACAAAAUAAGUUAAAAAUUCAGAGAUUACUUGACUAUCAAGCAAUUACUAACACCAUCCAAACAUAAGAAAAUAUCAUUCAACAAUCUAAGUUUCCACUACAAACGGUGUGCGGUACAAAAAGGUUCAUACACGUUUCAAAAACCCAAAUAAUAACACUUUAACAAAGUACAAAACACAAAACUUGGAGAAGUUUUCUAGUACAAUAUCAUAUCGUUUUCUGAGACCACAAUGCAAUAAUGAAGAGGCAAACUCAAGCAAAAAUCAAAAAGAAAAUCAGGUUUAAUGAUUUGUCAGAAUCUUUCACAGACCAGCAAAGAGAAUUUAAAUAGACCAAAACUUCCAUUUUUCAAGCUCCAUGCCAUCUGGUUGAAUGGUCUCCACUUCCUUAGUCUCAACCUCUUUCCAGUUUGGAUAGCACCGUCCUGUUCGACUCUUCCUGUCAAACCAAAACCACUCAAAAAGGUACAUCUUUAGUCAAAAGAAUAAAUAAUAAGUUAAUAAACCAAAAGAGAGAUUGAUCAGCUCACAAAUGGGAUUGAUGCGACCAGUGGCGGGGUACAGAUGUGUUAUCUAAAAACAUUCACAACCACCAAGGAGAUGCCAUCUAAAUAACAUCAGUGAUUUGAUACAUUCUAACAAUGUUUUCUAAAGUGUUUUUAAGUCUUUAUCGAGUCUUCCUAGUCCUUUUCGAGUCAUUACAGGUCUGGAGCUGCAUUGGAUGGGAGAUGGACCAGCUGGAACAAAAGAGGCAGAAAAGAGUGCAAUUUGGUGAUUUUCACGCAGUACAGUCUUGAUGGUUUCCAACCAUGCAGAACACCCCGAGUGCAUAUUCCAGUGGCAGAGAUUUUUAAGGAAGUUUCCAAAUAUUUCGGGAUUUUACCUAGGGCUUUCCCUUUUUUCUCCUUGAGACCUGCAAAUAUAUCUUUUCUUAUUUUUUUAGACAUUCUACAUUACUUUUUAAAGAGAUUUUGGAGAGAGAAAACUUGUACUCUUGUUAAGGAAGAAGAAUGUUUACAUUCUUUGGAGAAGAUUUCUAAAUCCUGUUUGCUUUUUAUUAUUGAUUCAAACAUGUUUUCUUCAUCUGUUAUCUCUAUGUUUUCUCUGUCCAUGGCUGAGUAAUCCACUUGCUUAGUCUAGGGUGUUAGGGUGUUAGAUCUGUGAGCUAAGCAUAAAUAAGUUAAUCAUUCAAUUGUCUUCAUUCAUAACUGUUCUUAUUGCUUGCAUUAAACUGGCCAGUUAUUGUUAGAUCCUAGGUUUAACUGAUUCAUUAACCGUGUAAUAGGUUGCUAGAUCUGUUUUGAAUGAGCAUCGCAUCACAUCCCUAAUCAGCGAAAGUACAUAUUAUGGUGUUUUGUGAACAUAUCGGACUUGAUCUCUAUUGCUUGUUGCGGGUCUUGAUCCAAACGAGAGUUUAGGUAUCAAGAUCGAUUAGCAUAGAGAGCAGUACCACGACAGUGGACUGUUCUACUACUUGAGUGAUCCGAGUUCUAAACUUUCUCUUAUUUGAACGUCAAUAAUUGUUUGGCUCACACUUGUGUGGGAACCGAAAUUCGCAAUGUCGAUUUCCGUUUAAAUAAGGAAAGUAGGAGAACCCUAAUUUCCCAAAGGUCCCGGAUAUCUGCUAAUGCCACACGCCAAGCAAUCGGAACACGGAAUAAAGACGAGAAAAUAUAAUAAAUCAAAAAGAGAGCAAAGUAGAUCUUAUUCUGAAUUCGCGUUUGAGCGUUACAACAAGCUAAGAGCCUGGGCUACAAGAGCUGUCGGCAAGAUUCCUAGUUCUAAAACCCUAAGACGACAACAACCUAAUUGAGUCGCAGCUCGAAUAACAAAAACGGAAAAUUGCUUAAACUGCUCUAAGUGCUAAGUUUGUUGUGAAAAAGUUCUCUCCUUGUGCCUCUCAUCUAGGACUCCUUAUAUACUCGCUCCCAGGUCGGUCUACGCUUUUUCCCUUCAGCCUUUAAGCCGUCAUAGCUUAAAAAUGGAGACAUUCCAUUUUCCCGAUCUUCGUAAUUAUCUUCGAAAACUUCGUAUUUAUCCGCGGAAACUUGACAUUUAUCUUUCCUUGCGAACCAAACAUAUACCGUCCUACGGUUUACGGGCUUUUGGUUAAAAAUCGUAAGUGGGCUUCGAGUUACGUCUUAGGUCUCUUUGGGCCGUCUUUUGACUCGAAAUGUUUAUUACAUCUUCUUUCGAUAAAAACGAACUUUCUGCGGUUUUUAUCGUAAAGUUCAAUUGAUGACUUCAAAUGACGAGAACAUGAAAUAGGUUUGCUAUGGCCUUCAGACGAUAGAAUUAAAGAGAAGACGAGAAUGCAUGGAUUCGUGUCGUAUCGACGUUUCGGGAAAGCUCGGUCGCUACAUAACGACCGCGCGGGACGCGUGCUCGGUCGCGAGCUCGGUCGCUACGUAGCAACCGAGCAGGACACGUGCUCGGUCGCUACGUAGCGACCGAGCAGGGUGCAUGCUUGGUCGUUGCGUAGCCAUCGUUCUUGGCUUGUCUGUGGUCCGAUGGCCAUACUUGAGCUUGUCCGUGGCCGAUUUGGAUACAUGUAUGUUACCUUCGGACAAUCGGUAUUUAGUGGUUCGAUUGAGAUUUGAACAAUAUUUUACUGCAAGGCUCUUCGUAAAGAUUUCUUUAUGAAGAUUACUUUUCGUAAAAACGUUCAUGCUGAUUUUUACGGACUUUCAGAUAUUGAUUCCGUCGUGACCGAUUUUGACCCCAACAGUUAGCCCCCCAGCUCGUUAAAACCAUGAGCUUCUAGCGUGAGGUUGUAGCGAGUGGCUUGGCAAGUUAGGCAAGUUAGGUGAGUUAGGCAGAAUUAAUGGUUGAAAAGGUCCGUGGUAAGGGGUCUUCUCGCUCUUCUUAAAGUAGAACGCGAUAAGAUUGGGGCUGCGCCUUAUGACGGGUGCCUACGUACCCUUGUUGAAGGGAUCAAGCCUUUCGUAGUUCGUCUUGGAGUUAAGGUUCUUAUGACUAGUUUUCUAGCGAGACCUUUGCGGUCUAGUUUAUAUGUAGAGGUUAUCAGGCGUGUUUCUGCAGAUGGCAUUUUAUAUGGGUGUAGAAGGAAGACUCUGAGUUAUCAUCUUGUAAUCUAACUCUGUGUGAACUGCUAUAUCCGUGAUCUGUUUCGAGAGUUUUCCUUAGUUUGUAAACUUGCGGAAUUUCUGAAGACGCUCGAAUAUACAAAGAGACAAAUUUUGGGAUCUCGUAUCAGGGUGUUUGAUACUAUGCCUAGAGAUGUUAGAGACCAGUGCGUUGGGUUUAGGGCAAGACCUAGGUUUACUCCUGGUUUUAGAGGGGGCGAUGACUAAUUCGACUUACGUAUCCCGUUUCAGUUUCAUCCUGAUUCCAUACCGAUUUAGAGUCCGCGAUAGGUUCUCGGCUUAUACGACUUGUAUGGUUGGAACUGAGCAUCUCUCCAAGGACAAUUUUUAAGCCUCCUAGAAGUGCUGACCAAAAAUUUUGGAUUUCUUUUAUAGUGCUAUUAUCCUUGUGUCCGAUGUACGAAAGUCAUCUCUACGAGAUGGCUAAGUCUGUUUAGGACGUUAAGAGUUUGUUGUGAUCAGCAACAAACUUAAUGGUAAAAAUUACCAUUUCGAGUCUUCGCAAAGGACAUGUUUUGAGAAGAUGUUAGUGCGUAUGACUGUCUGGUCUUCCAAGAAGAUGUUUUAUCGAGGAAGGAAAUUUCAUCGAAGAAUGAAUCUUUAGGCUUCUGCGACGUCUCGCAAUGCUAAAUAUUUGUUAUUCUUUCGUAUGCCGUGUUUCGUGCUUGAAAUGUUCGCGCGCUUAAAAAUGGUUUGCGAUGUUGCAUGGGUUUAGUCUUAGCCCUGCGUUUGAGAAACAUUCUGAUUUGACUACGGAUGUUCGCAGCCAAAAUUGUUGUUCCUGUUUGGAUGCUAAUAACUUGAUUUACGAUCGAGGAAUUAGGACUGAGGUGUCGCGUAAAUUUGUCCAUGGGAAGAAGCCUUUUCCUUCAUAGUGCUUUGUGAAGUGUUGGCCUUCCGAGAUCUAUUUCGUGCAUUUUGAGGAUGUUUCGUAUAGCUGUAGAAGCUUUGUUACGAAUUUUUCCUUACAUGCCGCAUAUUAUGGGUAAAACGUUGCGGGGUUAAAUUGAAUUGUGGAGCGUAUUGAACUUGGUCAAUUUUCGAAAAGUUUAGAUUUUUCGUUAACCAUUUGUUGUUAGGACUGAGUUUCGUUACGAAGAAUUUAUCAUAUGACUUCCGACUAUGAGCUAUACGAUAAUUUUUCUCUUAAUAGUCACACGACGUUUUUAGACAAAUCAUAGAUUGUCGUUUAGCCGUUAAGUGGUAGAGCAAUGGUUUCUCAAAUAAUUUGGCUUGACGUGAGGGAUGUGUUCACUCAGGUAGCCAAAGAUGUUGUAGGUCAAGGAUUAUACCAUGGUACUUUAACAUUUAAGGCCAUUUUAGUUUACGAUCAUCCUUAAAGGGGAUGGCAAAUAUUGGUUUGGACCUUUAGUGGAAGGCGUAAUUGACCGAGGGCCAAAGAGCGCUUGUCGAGAUUGAUAGGCCAAUUUUCCUGGGGUUAUCCAUGCUAAUAUGGCCGAUAGUCGUAGAAAACGAUUAUCCGCUCUAGGUUUCAGUUAUACAAUGAAUAUUUCGUAUAAUGUGGCAUAUAGUCUUAUGAAAAUCGAAUAUUUUUUGCCUGAGGAAAACGAAGCCCAAGAGGUUUGCUACAUAACCAGUGUGGAGUCAGCGGCGGGACGACUGCCUUCUCGGAUGUGACCGAGGGAAAAGAAAAGCAGAUGCCAGUGAGCCGUAGGGUUCUUCAUAAAGCCUGUUAUGUUAACUUUAGAAAGUUUCUUCGUAAGACAUAGUCAGAUUGAACGAAGGAUUUUGUGCGUAAGUAACGGGGACUGGUUUUAUGAAGGUUGUAAAUCGGUGAUAUGUAUACAUAUGCUAAAGUAGAGUUGUUUCUACAGGUUUUACGAGAAACGUUUCUGCUGUGAUUUCGAUCUUAGGUGAAAGUUGCUUGGAGUUACUCAUGGAGUGUUACCGAAUUUUAUUUCAUUACGAUCUAGUCGCAGAAAGUUUUUCAUAGGUUUUAUGAGAGGAUUCUCAUGAUACAUUCGUUUAUGGAAUGAAUUAGUCAACCAGAGGUGGAUCUAGCCACCAUCGGGAGGAAAGUAUUCCUUUUAAUGUGCACGAUGCUACAUCUAUUUUUGAGUUUUCUUCGUCACAACUGUUUUUGAUGCUUUUCCGUGACUCACUUGGUACAACGGAAACUGAAAGAAAUGCUUUGGUGAUUGAAGAUUUCUCGUAGAAAUUUUUAAACGAAACUGGCUUUCUAAAACCGGAAAGGGCUUCAAUACUUUGGCUAAUCGUCAAGUUUCAGUUUGAUAUUGGUACAGGUUUUUUGUACGCAUGAUUGCGACAAGAAAUGAUGUAUAGUCUUUGAGAUUAUGUUCAUGAUCGUCUGGAUAUGUUGCUAGCGUUUAGACGAAUUUUAGAUUUUCGUUUGCCUAUUUGAGACGAUUUGCUUUGACAAAAUCGUUUUCUUGACGAUUUGCAAAGGUUUUUGAAGUUUGGGAGUAUACGAGUAUAGUAUACGUACCUACUCCCCAUUUUUUUUUAUUUUUUUUUUACGGAAGAAAACGGUUGAACCGAUACUUUGAAGUGUUGUGUAGGUUUCUUCUUCUGAGGUUUGGAAUGGUCAAUAAUUCGGGAUGAUUUAAAGAUGACGCUUGGUCUGUGAUUUGGUUGUGUCCACGUUGACGACUUGGAAUAUGUCGGUUCCAAGAAAAUUGCCAGAAACGAAUUGGUUUUAAGACGACGUUCAUAUCUCUAGUUUUUUUCUCCUUAGGAAGCGAGCUUUAUAUGCGUCGUGAUCGUUUCUCGAUUUUCGGAGAGUUUAGAUCGAUUUGCAAGAUCUGGAUGAACAGUUAUGGAACAAUAUAUCGAGAUAGGAAAAAUCGCCUAAGACAUAGUUCGCUAGACUAUUCUCCUAGGUUUUACGUUCCUUAAAGUUCUAUGGCGGUUUCAAAUGCGUUUUUAUUUCUUAGUAAUUUCCUACAAAAAUUCCAAGUGAUUUCAAAAAUUUCAAGUCGGAAAUACCUUAGUUAUCUCGACAGUUUUCUCUCUUCUUAGUUUUGCUUGCUCAUUUCCCCUUCCUCUUCUCGUGUAUGUUCGCCAUUUUCGAUAUUGGUGUUUAUCCUUUGAAACUUGACAUUUAUCUUCCGAACUUGACAGUUAUCUUCUCCUUAGAUACGACGUCAAUUUUAUAAAAAAAUUCAACGUAAUCGUAUAGUUGAGGCGGCUAAGAUGUUAAGUUAACCGUUGUCGUUUUAUACGAUUAAUCUGAAUCCAUGCGAGAAAACAAGUCUUUACGGUUUUUUUUUUCGUAAAGUUUCAAUGGUAACACAUCCAUGCUAGACGUUUCGAUCGAGAUUUUGAAGGAGAACACAAAGAUGGAGGUAAGGGCGAGUUGGAGCAAGCGAAGGAGUUUAGACGAGUCUUACUUGUUUUCGUCGUAAAAUCUCAACGGAAACUUCGAUUGAGACAAAACGAAAAGCGUUUUAAUCGGGAUUCAAAAGAGAACACAAAGAAGGAGCUUUUUGAGGUCUGACAGAUCGCUAUGUAGCGAUCUGGAGGUCUGACAGGUCGCUAUGUAGCAAGUUGAAGUAAGCCAAGAAGAGUCUACUUGUUUUCGUCGUAAAAUCUUAAUCGGAGUUUUAAAAUCUCAACGGAAACUCCGAUUGAGACGAAACGAAAAGCGCUUCAAUGAGGAUUCAAAAUAGAACACAAAGGACGACCUUUCUGAGGCCUGACAGGUUGCUAUGUAGCGAGUGGAGGUCUGACAGGUCGCUACGUAGCGAGUAGAAGCAAACCAACAAGAGUCCUACUUGUUUUCGUCGUAAUAUCUCAACAGAAACUCCGAUUGAGACGAACCGAAAAGUGUUUCGAUGAGAAUUAGAAAGAGAACGCAAAGGAGAACCUUUCUUAGGCCUGACAGGUCGCUAUGUAGCGAGUGGAGGUCUGAAAGGUCGCUAUGUCGCGAGUUGAAGUAACCCGAGAAGAGUCCUACUUGUUUUCGUCGUAAAAUCUCAACGGAAACUCCGAUUGAGACGAAAAGAAAAGCGCUUCAAUGAGGAUUCAAAAGAGAACACAAAGGAAGACCUUUCUGAGGCCUGACAGGUCGCUAUGUAGCGAGUGGAGGUCUGACAGGUCACUACGUAGCGAGUAGAAGCUAACCAACAAGAGUCCUACUUGUUUUCGUCGUAAAAUCUCAACGAAAACUCCGAUUGAGACGAAACAAAAAGUGUUUCGAUGAGGGUUCAAAAGAGAACGCAAAGGAAGACCUUUCUGAGGCCUGACAGGUCGGUAUGUAGCGAGUGGAGGUCUGACAGGUCACUACAUAGCGAGUAGAAGCAAACCAAGAAGAGUCCUACUUGUUUUCGUCGUAAAAUCUCAACGGCAACUCCUAUUGAGACAAAACGAAAAUCAUUUCGAUGAGGAUUCAAAAGAGAACACAAAGGAGGACCUUUCUGAGGCCUGACAGGUCGCUAUGUAGCGAGUGAAGGUCUGAUAGGUCGCUACGUAGCGAGUAGAAGCAAGCAAACAAGAGUCCUACUUGUUUUCGUCGUAAAAUCUCAACGGAAACUCCGAUUGAGACGAAACGAAAAGCGUUUCGAUGAGGAUUCAAACGCGAACGUAGAGGAGGACCUUCUGAAGCCUUACAGUUCGCUACAUAGCGAGUGGAGAGUUGGCUUGAGCUAGGUCGCUACGUAACGACCGAGCCGUGUACUUGCUCGGUCGCUACGUAGCGACUGAGCCAUGUGCGUGCGCGGUUGCUACGUAGCGACCGAGCUGUGUGCGUGCUCGGUCGCUACGUAGCGACCGAGCGGUAUGCGUGCUCAGGCGCUACAUAGCUACCGAGCCGUGUGCGUGCUCGGUCUCUAUGUAGCAACCGAGCUAUGUAAUUGAUUUGUUGCGCUUCCUUUUUCCGCGAUUAACCUAGGGGUUUUCUGCGGUUUUUGGGAGAACCAGUUUUAACUUUCCGAAAUAUUUUCGGAAAACGUGUUUUGGUAAAAUCUUUACGCAAUGAGAUUUCUUUUGUUCGGUAAUGAGCCAAGCUUAUGGGGUUUGAUAAGAUUUAUCGUUUCCCUUUAUGUUUAGAAAGAGAAAUCGCGAGCUCGUUUCAUUGCACUUCCUGUGGCAAAAAGUCGCAGCAAGGUUUUCAAUUUUCUCAAGAUCUGUGGCGUUUGCGUAGGCGUUGGCCAUAGGCGCAGUGGCGGCUGAGGUUCUCUUACCAGCGUUAUUGCGAACUGCGAGUUUUGUCUUUCGUAUUUCCAGACAUUGUUUUGAUCAAGCGUUUUGUGGCUGAGAGUUAGAUUGAUCCGUACCCCCUCCUAGCGCCAAACUGUUGGAACCGAAAUUCGCAUUGACGAUUUCCGUUUAAAUAAGGAAAAUAGGAGAACCAUAAUUUCCCAGAGGUCUCGGAUAUCUGCUAAUGCCACAAACCAAGCAAUAAGAACACGAAAUAAAGACGAGAAAACAUAAUAAAUCGAAAAGAGAGCAAAGUAUAUCUUAUUCCGAAUUCGCGUUUGAGCGUUACAACAAGGUAAGAGCCUGGGCUAUGAGAGCUGUCGGCGAGAUUCCUAGUUCUAAAACCCAAAGACGGCAACAACCUAAUUGAGUCGCAGCUCGAAUAAC